GUCUAUGGCCAUACCACCCUGAACACACCCAAUCUCAUCUGAUCUCGGAAGCUAAGCAGAGUCGCCUGGUUAGUACUUGGAAGGGAGACCACCUGGGAGUACCAGGUGCUGUAGGCU
Loxodonta africana (African savanna elephant) is the source of this 117-nucleotide ribosomal RNA. Lineage: Eukaryota; Metazoa; Chordata; Mammalia; Proboscidea; Elephantidae. The record is from Ensembl.